GCUGGUGUGGCUCAACGGUAGAGCAGGGGACUGAAAAUCCCCGUGUCGGUGGUUCGAUUCCGCCUCUGGGC
RNAcentral lists this transfer RNA (71 nucleotides) under Clostridioides difficile. RNAcentral's name for it is "tRNA-Phe(gaa)". The stretch from base 8 to 64 matches the Rfam family "tRNA", at positions 8 to 63 of the family's 71-position model. Rfam says of the family: Transfer RNA (tRNA) molecules are approximately 80 nucleotides in length. Their secondary structure includes four short double-helical elements and three loops (D, anti-codon, and T loops). The record is from RNAcentral. Lineage: Bacteria; Bacillati; Bacillota; Clostridia; Peptostreptococcales; Peptostreptococcaceae.